UUGAGCGCUGAGGUUGGUACUUGUACCGACUGGAUGAGCAGCGAACGGGUGAGUAACGCGUGGGGAAUCUGCCUUUGAGCGGGGGACAACAUUUGGAAACGAAUGCUAAUACCGCAUAAAAACUUUAAACACAAGUUUUAAGUUUGAAAGAUGCAAUUGCAUCACUCAAAGAUGAUCCCGCGUUGUAUUAGCUAGUUGGUGAGGUAAAGGCUCACCAAGGCGAUGAUACAUAGCCGACCUGAGAGGGUGAUCGGCCACAUUGGGACUGAGACACGGCCCAAACUCCUACGGGAGGCAGCAGUAGGGAAUCUUCGGCAAUGGACGAAAGUCUGACCGAGCAACGCCGCGUGAGUGAAGAAGGUUUUCGGAUCGUAAAACUCUGUUGGUAGAGAAGAACGUUGGUGAGAGUGGAAAGCUCAUCAAGUGACGGUAACUACCCAGAAAGGGACGGCUAACUACGUGCCAGCAGCCGCGGUAAUACGUAGGUCCCGAGCGUUGUCCGGAUUUAUUGGGCGUAAAGCGAGCGCAGGUGGUUUAUUAAGUCUGGUGUAAAAGGCAGUGGCUCAAUCCAUUGUAUGCAUUGGAAACUGGUAGACCUUGAGUGCAGGACGAGGAUGAUGUGGAAUUCCACUGUGUACGCGGUGAAAUGCGUAGAUAUAUGGAGGAACACCGGUGGCGAAAGCGGCUCUCUGGCCUGUAACUGACACUGAGGCUCGAAAGCGUGGGGAGCAAACAGGAUUAAAUACCCUGGUAGUCCACGCCGUAAACGAUGAGUGCUAGAUGUAGGGGAGCUAUAAGUUCUCUGUAUC
RNAcentral lists this ribosomal RNA (809 nucleotides) under Lactococcus sp. INBio3686G. Its description in RNAcentral is "bacterial SSU rRNA". It matches the Rfam family "Bacterial small subunit ribosomal RNA", at positions 62 to 847 of the family's 1533-position model. Lineage: Bacteria; Bacillati; Bacillota; Bacilli; Lactobacillales; Streptococcaceae. The record is from RNAcentral.